Carica papaya (papaya) is the source of this 481-nucleotide non-coding RNA. The record is from RefSeq and is a predicted model, not a curated record. Lineage: Eukaryota; Viridiplantae; Streptophyta; Magnoliopsida; Brassicales; Caricaceae.
UCGCCCUUCAAGUCCUCAUACCUUGGAGCCCUAAGGUUAGGGAACCCCAAAAAUUCUUGCCAUUUUAGUCAUCUCCUGGCUCGGUAUCGCUCAUAGCAACUCCGCGUUGAUGGUUUUCUCUCUGCUUCCUGGUCAACUCUGCGUCGCUCAUAGCAACGUUGAAAGGAUACUGGAAGGAAGUGGCAAUGGUGUCUACUCUUAAUCAACUACCUUAUAAUGCAAGUUUGCAGAAAGGAAGUGAUAAUGGUGUCUGAUAGAUGUCGAAGGUGAAGGCUUAUAUAUUGCAAGUUAUUUUUAUCAGUAUACACCAAAGUUUUAGUGUUACAUUGAAUAUUACAUAACAUAUGAGUUGCAUCUACUUUCAGGAGUCGAUAAGAAGAUAUCACGUGUAGUUAAAUAUGGCAUGUAAUACCAAAUUUAACGGCAUCAGUGGUGCCUUACAAAUACUAGUCAUUCUCACUAGUUAGUUCAGUUUAAGUUA